GAGUAGAGGCCGGCGGCUUACGAUAGCAGGAGAUUUCACCUUCAGAAAGAAAGUAACACGAUGGAGGAGAGCUCACGUGUUCCCCUUUUAUACAAAGUCACGUGAUUAAAAGCGCCUGCAGAGGCUUCUGGGAAAUGUAGUAUUAUUUUGUCAACGGCUGGAGGAGCGUUAAGAGCUAAUGAAGAACCAAAACAUGUCAAGACAAAGGUCCGGGGAAUCUAUGUUUUGUUUAUAUGAGAAAUCUGGCACCUGAGAGAUGGAGACCACGGUCAAAGUCCUGAUCGUCUGCCAUCUCCUCUUCCUGUGUGCACUAAGCAGCGCCAAGGAGGAAAAAGUCAUCACCAUGGACUGAAGACUAUUUCACAAAGACUCUGAACGGAAACACAUCACCACGCCAGGAAAUUUGAUGUGUAUAUAAGUGGGAAACAUUCAUUCUAAAAUGAAAGGUAUCUUUCCAAAAUGUCCCUCACAGUAUGAGACACAUCUCGUGCACUAAACUUCCAGUAAUGCACCUUACUGCCAUGAACCCUCUGUUAAUCCCUCUGUUAAUCCUUGCCCUUACAUCCUUUUUCCAAACAUUGCUGCAAUCCUACGAAACCUUCCUAGAAAAGGAAAGAAAUAUCCAGUUCAGGUUAUGAUCCUAAAAUCAGGACGACAGCCACUAUGUAUUUUCAUUACCGAUCACAUUCUGAAUAAAUCAGUAGUUGUUACUAGAUAAAACAUCAAAGAAAUUGGCAAUCAAAUAUUCACAGAGCCAAAUGUGCAUCUUGAAAUAUUUUAUUUACAUUUACAAAGCAGGAAUCCUCUCAAUGCAGCGUCAGGAGACAGAGAAUAUUGAUAAUGUUUGACCUGGAUUGUAGCUCUGUUGAAAGAUUGUCAAAAUAAUUGCCAAUUAUAAUGCUGUCGAUUUUUCUCCUCUUAUCUUUUCCGCUCUACUUGAAAUGAUUUAUUUCAGCCACUGUUUGUUGUUUUGGUGCUGAUGUGAAAAGUGCAAACAAACAACACAGGAGCUGGCGGAGAGCAGCGAGCAUAUCUACAGCAUCAGGUAACACAGCGCCGUGUUUAAUUACGUCCCUGCUAGAUAUGGCCCAUACUGAACUUAUGCCUGCCCACGCUGCUAGAUGUCAGGGUCACAUGGUAUAUAAUUGUGAUCCCCUCCCCACACACACACACACACACACAUACAGCCGUGGAAAAAAAGAAGACACCACUGCAGCAUUAUCAAUUUCUCUGGUUUUAUUAUUUAUACUUGAUUAUAUGAUACAUGAUUUUUUUAUUGUAUUCUAUAAACUGCUGACAAUUCUUCUCUGUGUUGGAAUUCAACUGACACUGGAAUGGCUGCCAUCCAUAUACACACACACACACACACACACACACACACACACCAUUGUGCUCAGUAUUAAUGUGAGCUGGACCUCACCGUCCUGACAUGGCUUGAUUCAUGAGGGGACGAGACACGGAUACUGAAUAGUUGAUGAGCUGGAAGAAGAAGAAAAGAAGUGGAGCGGUGGGGUGGGGGCAGAAAUAGA
This is a long non-coding RNA of Eleginops maclovinus (Patagonian blennie), 1529 nucleotides long. RefSeq lists it as uncharacterized. The transcript is spliced from 3 exons. NCBI's taxonomy places the organism in Eukaryota, Metazoa, Chordata, Actinopteri, Perciformes, Eleginopidae. The record is from RefSeq and is a predicted model, not a curated record.